GGUUAAGCGACUAAGCGUACACGGUGGAUGCCUAGGCAGUCAGAGGCGAUGAAGGGCGUGCUAAUCUGCGAUAAGCGUCGGUAAGCUGAUAUGAAGCGUUAUACCCGACGAUACCCGAAUGGGGAAACCCAGUGUGUUUCGACACACUAUCAUGGCAUGAAUACAUAGUGUCAUGAGGCGAACCGGGGGAACUGAAACAUCUCAGUACCCCCGAGGAAAAGAAAUCAACCGAGAUUCCCCCAGUAGCGGCGAGCGAACGGGGAGGAGCCCAGAACCUGAAUCAGUUUGUGUGUUAGUGGAAGCGUCUGGAAAGUCGCACAGUAAAGGGUGAUAGUCCCGUACACAAAAAUGCACAAGUUGUGAGUUCGAUGAGUAGGGCGGGACACGUGACAUCCUGUCUGAAUAUGGGGGGACCAUCCUCCAAGGCUAAAUACUCCUGACUGACCGAUAGUGAACCAGUACCGUGAGGGAAAGGCGAAAAGAACCCCGGCGAGGGGAGUGAAAUAGAACCUGAAACCGUGUACGUACAAGCAGUGGGAGCCUACUUGUUAGGUGACUGCGUACCUUUUGUAUAAUGGGUCAGCGACUUAUAUUCUGUAGCAAGGUUAACCGUAUAGGGGAGCCGCAGGGAAACCGAGUCUUAACUGGGCGUUAAGUUGCAGGGUAUAGACCCGAAACCCGGUGAUCUAGCCAUGGGCAGGUUGAAGGUUGGGUAACACUAACUGGAGGACCGAACCGACUAAUGUUGAAAAAUUAGCGGAUGACUUGUGGCUGGGGGUGAAAGGCCAAUCAAACCGGGAGAUAGCUGGUUCUCCCCGAAAGCUAUUUAGGUAGCGCCUCGUGAAUUCAUCUUCGGGGGUAGAGCACUGUUUCGGCUAGGGGGUCAUCCCGACUUACCAACCCGAUGCAAACUACGAAUACCGAAGAAUGUUAUCACGGGAGACACACGGCGGGUGCUAACGUUCGUCGUGAAGAGGGAAACAACCCAGACCGCCAGCUAAGGUCCCAAAGUCAUGGUUAAGUGGGAAACGAUGUGGGAAGGCAUAGACAGCCAGGAUGUUGGCUUAGAAGCAGCCAUCAUUUAAAGAAAGCGUAAUAGCUCACUGGUCGAGUCGGCCUGCGCGGAAGAUGUAACGGGGCUAAACCAUGCACCGAAGCUGCGGCAGCGACACUUAGGUGUUGUUGGGUAGGGGAGCGUUCUGUAAGCCUGCGAAGGUGGCCUGUGAGGGCUGCUGGAGGUAUCAGAAGUGCGAAUGCUGACAUAAGUAACGAUAAUGCGGGUGAAAAACCCGCACGCCGGAAGACCAAGGGUUCCUGUCCAACGUUAAUCGGGGCAGGGUGAGUCGACCCCUAAGGCGAGGCUGAAAAGCGUAGUCGAUGGGAAACAGGUUAAUAUUCCUGUACUCGGUGUUACUGCGAAGGGGGGACGGAGAAAGCUAGGUUAUCCGGGCGACGGUUGUCCCGGUUUAAGCGUGAAGGUGGAUGACUUUGGUAAAUCCGGGUCAUCGUUAACACUGAGGCGUGAUGACGAGUCACUACGGUGAUGAAGUAACCGAUGCUACGCUUCCAGGAAAAGCCUCUAAGCUCCAGGUAACAUCAAAUCGUACCCCAAACCGACACAGGUGGUCAGGUAGAGAAUACUCAGGCGCUUGAGAGAACUCGGGUGAAGGAACUAGGCAAAAUGGUGCCGUAACUUCGGGAGAAGGCACGCUGAUGGUAGGUGAAGUGACUUGCUCAUGGAGCUGAAAUCAGUCGAAGAUACCAGCUGGCUGCAACUGUUUAAUAAAAACAACAGCACUGUGCAAACACGAAAGUGGACGUAUACGGUGUGACGCCUGCCCGGUGCCGGAAGGUUAAUUGAUGGGGUCAGCCGCAAGGCGAAGCUCUUGAUCGAAGCCCCGGUAAACGGCGGCCGUAACUAUAACGGUCCUAAGGUAGCGAAAUUCCUUGUCGGGUAAGUUCCGACCUGCACGAAUGGCGUAAUGAUGGCCAGGCUGUCUCCACCCGAGACUCAGUGAAAUUGAACUCGCUGUGAAGAUGCAGUGUACCCGCGGCAAGACGGAAAGACCCCGUGAACCUUUACUAUAGCUUGACACUGAACCUUGAGCCUUGAUGUGUAGGAUAGGUGGGAGGCUUUGAAGCGUGGACGCCAGUCUGCGUGGAGCCAACCUUGAAAUACCACCCUUUAAUGUUUGAUGUUCUAACGUGGACCCGUGAUCCGGGUUGCGGACAGUGUCUGGUGGGUAGUUUGACUGGGGCGGUCUCCUCCCAAAGCGUAACGGAGGAGCACGAAGGUUAGCUAAUCCUGGUCGGACAUCAGGAGGUUAGUGCAAAGGCAUAAGCUAGCUUGACUGCGAGAGUGACAGCUCGAGCAGGUGCGAAAGCAGGUCUUAGUGAUCCGGUGGUUCUGAAUGGAAGGGCCAUCGCUCAACGGAUAAAAGGUACUCCGGGGAUAACAGGCUGAUACCGCCCAAGAGUUCAUAUCGACGGCGGUGUUUGGCACCUCGAUGUCGGCUCAUCACAUCCUGGGGCUGAAGUAGGUCCCAAGGGUAUGGCUGUUCGCCAUUUAAAGUGGUACGCGAGCUGGGUUUAGAACGUCGUGAGACAGUUCGGUCCCUAUCUGCCGUGGGCGUUGGAAGAUUGAGAGGGGUUGCUCCUAGUACGAGAGGACCGGAGUGAACGCACCACUGGUGUACGGGUUGUGAUGCCAAUUGCAUUGCCCGGUAGCUAAGUGCGGAAGAGAUAACCGCUGAAAGCAUCUAAGCGGGAAACUUGCCUCGAGAUGAGUCUUCCCUGGGCACUUGAUGCCCCUGAAGGGCCGUUGAAGACGACGACGUAGAUAGGCUGGGUGUGUAAGCGUAGCGAUACGUUGAGCUAACCAGUACUAAUGACCCGAGAGGCUUAACCU
This 2908-nucleotide ribosomal RNA is filed under the name Pectobacterium carotovorum subsp. carotovorum PCC21. RNAcentral's name for it is "bacterial LSU rRNA". It matches the Rfam family "Bacterial large subunit ribosomal RNA". Lineage: Bacteria; Pseudomonadati; Pseudomonadota; Gammaproteobacteria; Enterobacterales; Pectobacteriaceae. The record is from RNAcentral.